CCCCAUAAAUAAUGACCACUCCCUUACUUAAAAGAGGAAAGAUCUAUUGAAAUAGCUGUGUACUGUAUCUGGCAUCAUAUACAGUAAUGUGCGUAUUUGUAUAGUCCCAGCAAGUUAACGCUCCAUAGAGCGUCUUGUUUGCCUUAAAAUUGUUUUGUUUACGAUUGUAAGUUUAGGCGGGAAAUUUUCCGUGUAGAAACACGCUUCUCGACC
Non-coding RNA from Paramuricea clavata, 213 nucleotides. NCBI's taxonomy places the organism in Eukaryota, Metazoa, Cnidaria, Anthozoa, Malacalcyonacea, Plexauridae. The record is from the annotation of a GenBank genome assembly.